GUAGGGUGCGAGCGUUAAUCGGAAUUACUGGGCGUAAAGCGUGCGCAGGCGGUUUUGUAAGCCAGAUGUGAAAUCCCCGGGCUUAACCUGGGAAUGGCAUUUGGGACUGCAAGGCUGGAGUGCGGCAGAGGAGACUGGAAUUCCUGGUGUAGCAGUGAAAUGCGUAGAUAUCAGGAGGAAUACCGAUGGCGAAGGCAGGUCUCUGGGCUGACACUGACGCUCAUGCACGAAAGCGUGGGGAGCAAACAGGAUUAGAUACCCUGGUAGUCCACGCCCUAAACGAUGUCGACUGGUUGUUGGGGGUUUGACACUCUCAGUAACGAAGCUAACGCGUGAAGUCGACCGCCUGGGGAGUACGGCCGCAAGGUUA
This 370-nucleotide ribosomal RNA is filed under the name uncultured bacterium. RNAcentral's name for it is "bacterial SSU rRNA". It matches the Rfam family "Bacterial small subunit ribosomal RNA", at positions 527 to 896 of the family's 1533-position model. The record is from RNAcentral.